Labrus bergylta (ballan wrasse) is the source of this 885-nucleotide non-coding RNA. The record is from RefSeq and is a predicted model, not a curated record. NCBI's taxonomy places the organism in Eukaryota, Metazoa, Chordata, Actinopteri, Labriformes, Labridae.
CCAGAAUGACUAAAAUACGUCACAUCCGCCUGGGGAGCGUCCACUUUAACACACAGCCGGUGAGAGAGAAGAUUUACAAGAGAAGACGUGGAAAAAGUCAAGGAACAAGAAAGGUAAAUAUAAUUGUUGUGUUUUUUAAACCCUCGUGUAGUGGAUAUGUGACGUGUAUGGAUGUUUAUGCACUAAAUGACGAACAUUAGGGUUACAUGUGUGAUCGUGCAGACCUUCCAGCGAGGCUCAGCCUGCAGUGGCUCUGAUCUUUCCUUCAAUGUCUGCUAGAGAGACGUGAGGCCGUUUGAGGCCCUGCUGUGUGCUCCUCAUGGCAGGGUUAUAGGAUGCAGAUGAAGGAUGGUGUGUCUCCGCUCAGAGCUCCUGACUGACAUCUGAGGCUCCUCAAUGACUUCAGGAUGCAGAUGAAGGAUGGUGUGUCUCUGCUCAGAGCUCCUGACUGACAUCUGAGGCUCCUCAGUGACUUAAGGAUGCAGAUGAAGGAUGGUGUGUCUCCGCUCAGAGCUCCUGACUGACAUCUGAUGCUCCUCAAUGACUUCAGGAGUGAUUAAUUCAGCUCUGUGAUCAGCGGCUGCAGACGUCGGGCAUGUUGAACGUCUCUCUGGAGACUUCCUGACAGCCCCAAAAAGACUUGAUGUGUCCGUAACCGUGACGACUGAUGUUAACUGUGAUCUUCAGGAUUAUCUCCAGCAACCAGACUUUGACCCAGAUUUUUCCUGCGAGUCAAGGAACCGGCUCGUCUGCUGUUUGGCUGUCUGACAGUCAGAUCAUGUGGUUUUGUGUCAUUGGCACACUUUUGGAAAAGGUGACUCAUGUAAUGUGUAUUUAUAAGUAAUAACAGAAUGACGCAAUGUGGAAAUAAACAUCUGAAACAAA